Molecule: ribosomal RNA, 253 nt
Filed under: uncultured bacterium
Lineage: Bacteria
Description: partial 16S ribosomal RNA
Rfam family: Bacterial small subunit ribosomal RNA
Source: RNAcentral
UACAGAGGGGGCGAGCGUUAUUCGGAGUUACUGGGCUUAAAGGGCGCGUAGGCGGCCUUCUAAGUCGAUUGUGAAAUCCCCGGGCUCAACCCGGGAACUGCGUCCGAUACUGGGAGGCUUGAAUCCGGGAGAGGGAUGUGGAAUUCCAGGUGUAGCGGUGAAAUGCGUAGAUAUCUGGAGGAACACCGGUGGCGAAGGCGGCAUCCUGGACCGGUAUUGACGCUGAGGCGCGAAAGCCAGGGGAGCAAACGGG